RNAcentral lists this small RNA (484 nucleotides) under Pan troglodytes (chimpanzee). Its description in RNAcentral is "processed transcript". Lineage: Eukaryota; Metazoa; Chordata; Mammalia; Primates; Hominidae. The record is from RNAcentral.
AGAGAUACCAAAUGCUGAUAAAUCUUUAGAAAUGGAAAUAUUAAAGCAGAAAUACCGUAUCAUAAACUGUAUUCUUCAUCUGAAUUCAUAAAGCAAAGCUCUGAAAGCUUCUGAAGAUCCCUGGAGUAACUAUGUGGUGGGCAGUGGUUAAGCAUGAGGGUUUUACAGUUAGUUAGUACCUGAGUUCAAACCCCUAUUCAACUAGGUACAUAAUAACUGUUGCCCUGGGCAAUCUGCUUAACCUUUCUCUAUAAUAGUUUCUUACCUAUAAACUGGGAACAAAAAUAAACUAGCCAUGAACUAACAGUGUAACUUUGGGAAAAAUCGUUUAAACUUCAAAAAUACGUGUUUCCUGGAAGGAUUGUGACUACCGAGGUUAAAACCUAUGCGUUCCUACAUUCAGAAGGGACCGAGGUUAAAACCUAUGCCUUCCUACAUUCAGAAGGGCUAAAAGAAGAACUGAAAAUAAAUUCAUGAAAUGUGU